Molecule: ribosomal RNA, 253 nt
Filed under: uncultured bacterium
Lineage: Bacteria
Description: partial 16S ribosomal RNA
Rfam family: Bacterial small subunit ribosomal RNA
Source: RNAcentral
UACGUAGGGUGCGAGCGUUAAUCGGAAUUACUGGGCGUAAAGUGUGCGCAGGUGGCCGCGCAAGUCGAGUGUGAAAUCCCCGAGCUUAACUUGGGAAUUGCGCUCGAAACUACGUGGCUCGAGUGUGGCAGAGGAAGGUGGAAUUCCACGUGUAGCGGUGAAAUGCGUAGAUAUCUGGAGGAACACCGGUGGCGAAGGCGGCAUCCUGGACCAAUAUUGACGCUGAGGAGCGAAAGCCAGGGGAGCAAACGGG